ACUCCUACGGGAGGCAGCAGUGGGGGAAUAUUGGACAAUGGGGGCGAACCCUCGAUCCAGCCAUGCCGCGUGAGUGAUGAAGGCCUUAGGGUUGUAAAGCUCUUUCAGCGAGGAGGAUAAUGACGUUACUCGCAGAAGAAGCCCGGCUAACUUCGUGCCAGCAGCCGCGGUAAUACGAAGGGGGCGUAGCGUUGUUCGGAAUCACUGGGCGUAAAGCGCACGUAGGCGGAUUGAUAAGUUAGGGGUGAAAUCCCGGGGCUCAACCUCGGAACUGCCUUUGAUACUGUCAGUCUUGAGUCCGAGAGAGGUGAGUGGAACUCCGAGUGUAGAGGUGAAAUUCGUAGAUAUUCGGAAGAACACCAGUGGCGAAGGCGGCUCACUGGCUCGGUACUGACGCUGAGGUGCGAAAGCGUGGGGGAGCAAACAGGAUUAGAUACCCUGGUAGGAUAGCG
Molecule: ribosomal RNA, 452 nt
Filed under: uncultured bacterium
Lineage: Bacteria
Description: bacterial SSU rRNA
Rfam family: Bacterial small subunit ribosomal RNA
Source: RNAcentral